This 200-nucleotide ribosomal RNA is filed under the name uncultured bacterium. Its description in RNAcentral is "partial 16S ribosomal RNA". It matches the Rfam family "Bacterial small subunit ribosomal RNA", at positions 524 to 723 of the family's 1533-position model. The record is from RNAcentral.
UACGGAGGGUGCGAGCGUUAAUCGGAAUUACUGGGCGUAAAGCGCAUGCAGGUGGUUUGUUAAGUCAGAUGUGAAAGCCCGGGGCUCAACCCCGGAAGGUCAUUUGAAACUGGCAAACUAGAGUACUGUAGAGGGGGGUAGAAUUUCAGGUGUAGCGGUGAAAUGCGUAGAGAUCUGAAGGAAUACCAGUGGCGAAGGCG